CGAGCUCAGGACGAACGCUGGCGGCGUGCCUAAUACAUGCAAGUCGAACGAACUCUGGUAUUGAUUGGUGCUUGCAUCAUGAUUUACAUUUGAGUGAGUGGCGAACUGGUGAGUAACACGUGGGAAACCUGCCCAGAAGCGGGGGAUAACACCUGGAAACAGAUGCUAAUACCGCAUAACAACUUGGACCGCAUGGUCCGAGCUUGAAAGAUGGCUUCGGCUAUCACUUUUGGAUGGUCCCGCGGCGUAUUAGCUAGAUGGUGGGGUAACGGCUCACCAUGGCAAUGAUACGUAGCCGACCUGAGAGGGUAAUCGGCCACAUUGGGACUGAGACACGGCCCAAACUCCUACGGGAGGCAGCAGUAGGGAAUCUUCCACAAUGGACGAAAGUCUGAUGGAGCAACGCCGCGUGAGUGAAGAAGGGUUUCGGCUCGUAAAACUCUGUUGUUAAAGAAGAACAUAUCUGAGAGUAACUGUUCAGGUAUUGACGGUAUUUAACCAGAAAGCCACGGCUAACUACGUGCCAGCAGCCGCGGUAAUACGUAGGUGGCAAGCGUUGUCCGGAUUUAUUGGGCGUAAAGCGAGCGCAGGCGGUUUUUUAAGUCUGAUGUCGAAAGCCUUCGGCUCAACCGAAGAAGUGCAUCGGAAACUGGGAAACUUGAGUGCAGAAGAGGACAGUGGAACUCCAUGUGUAGCGGUGAAAUGCGUAGAUAUAUGGAAGAACACCAGUGGCGAAGGCGGCUGUCUGGUCUGUAACUGACGCUGAGGCUCGAAAGUAUGGGUAGCAAACAGGAUUAGAUACCCUGGUAGUCCAUACCGUAAACGAUGAAUGCUAAGUGUUGGAGGGUUUCCGCCCUUCAGUGCUGCAGCUAACGCAUUAAGCAUUCCGCCUGGGGAGUACGGCCGCAAGGCUGAAACUCAAAGGAAUUGACGGGGGCCCGCACAAGCGGUGGAGCAUGUGGUUUAAUUCGAAGCUACGCGAAGAACCUUACCAGGUCUUGACAUACUAUGCAAAUCUAAGAGAUUAGACGUUCCCUUCGGGGACAUGGAUACAGGUGGUGCAUGGUUGUCGUCAGCUCGUGUCGUGAGAUGUUGGGUUAAGUCCCGCAACGAGCGCAACCCUUAUUAUCAGUUGCCAGCAUUAAGUUGGGCACUCUGGUGAGACUGCCGGUGACAAACCGGAGGAAGGUGGGGAUGACGUCAAAUCAUCAUGCCCCUUAUGACCUGGGCUACACACGUGCUACAAUGGAUGGUACAACGAGUUGCGAACUCGCGAGAGUAAGCUAAUCUCUUAAAGCCAUUCUCAGUUCGGAUUGUAGGCUGCAACUCGCCUACAUGAAGUCGGAAUCGCUAGUAAUCGCGGAUCAGCAUGCCGGGUGGA
This 1381-nucleotide ribosomal RNA is filed under the name Lactiplantibacillus plantarum. Its description in RNAcentral is "bacterial SSU rRNA". It matches the Rfam family "Bacterial small subunit ribosomal RNA", at positions 19 to 1366 of the family's 1533-position model. The record is from RNAcentral. Lineage: Bacteria; Bacillati; Bacillota; Bacilli; Lactobacillales; Lactobacillaceae.